GACGAGAUCGGAAAAAGGAAAUGAAUUGUGUCAGGCAGUCUUGAAAAAAAAUCAUAAAUUCAUCUAACGUGCAUGAUAUCAGCUCCCACCUCUAAUUUGACCAGAAUGAGGGACCAAUUCAGUUGUUUGAUGUUUGCCAGGGAAAUAGGUGUCAAUGGAGGAGAGUCAACUUCUUCAGCCUUUUCUGGGACAUGCAGAGACUCGGCAGACUUAGAAACAUGUACUGUUACUGCUUUCUGACUGCUGGAGGGUAUCGAGAAGCUCCGAGGGACAACCAAAGGUGGAACUGGCAGAGGAGAUGCGUAAUUUGUUGUUGUGGAAGGAACCUUGCUUGUUCCAGAAUGCUCUGGAUUUCUCACCAACGGAGCAGAGUGACCAACUAGUGCAGAUGAUUUUGCUGGUUUUGAGGCUAAAUUAACCGGUGGCCUAGGAAGCUCAUGAAGCUCACUUAUUCUGGGUGAAGAUGCAAGGGGAGGUGAAGCAGUUGGGGAUACUUUUGGAGAUGUAGUCUGAGGAAUCAUUACACGUGGAAACACGCCAGAAACUUGUUGGGGAAGUUCGUUAGAGGAAAUGGGACCACUGGCGGAUAAAGCAGGCUUCAUAGACCAGGACUUACUAGUUAUUGGACCAGAGAAAGACUGCCGUUUAACCUUUUUGUGAUCCGAUGCAUUAUAUGUAUCAAGCUGUGGAAGUGAAGUUCCUUCCACUAAAGGAGGGGGUAACUGGGUGGAGGCGUUACUGUUGCUCUUUUUGUGUGCUGAAAAUGCUUUUAAGACAGUGAAGUCUGACAGAUGACUGUCAACAGGAUCUUUUUCAUGCUUCUUCUGUUCCAAUGGGGAUGAAUGCCACAAGUUAUGGGUGCGUCCACUGAGGUCAGUUGGCUUUGUCUGGAUAAGUGAACCACUUGUUCUUGACGAGAUUGCACCCUUAGCAUCAAUAGGUGUGGGCAGCACAUAUGUGUUGGACUUCCUUACAGAUGAUUGCAUUUGUCUCAUUUUUUCAACUGGAUCAGGUUUUCUUUCGGGAAAUAUUGGUGCAGAAUGGCUUCCUGGUCGAUGUUCCCUAAAUGAGAUCUGGAAACUCCCUUGGUUUUUGUCUGGAUUUAACUCUGCACUUUCUGUCAUUGAAGCUUGAGGAAAUGACAAGUCAACAUCAUCCACCUCCAUUGAAUUACUAGACGCAUAAACAACAUCAUGCCCCUGCUUAUUUGCUCUGUAGUCAAAGCUCAGUUCCCUCCCUCCAUUUGUAUCAUCACCAUCCUCAUCAUCUUCACCAUCUUCCCUACCAUCUUCUUCAAGCCCACAGAAUUGAUAAUCAAUAUGUUGUUGGUCUGUAACAAAUUUUACAUGUUGAUCAACAGCCUCAAGUGAUUUAAGUCCCUUCCUAAAGAAAUUCAACUGAGCUGCAUGAUGACGAGCUGCCUGUGUUAGAAGACUUCGAGACUGUCCUUGUUUCAGAGAUUUCAACCGGAAAACACACAGGGUUGCCUCUUCAUCAUAUUCAUCAUGAGCUGUUCGCAGUUUCUGCAAAGAAAAACUUUCACCUUUCCCACUCUUUGACUUUCCUUUUUCUUUCUGUUGUGCC
RNAcentral lists this unclassified non-coding RNA (1584 nucleotides) under Hevea brasiliensis (rubber tree). Lineage: Eukaryota; Viridiplantae; Streptophyta; Magnoliopsida; Malpighiales; Euphorbiaceae. The record is from RNAcentral.